Molecule: ribosomal RNA, 484 nt
Filed under: uncultured bacterium
Lineage: Bacteria
Description: partial 16S ribosomal RNA
Rfam family: Bacterial small subunit ribosomal RNA
Source: RNAcentral
AUUGAACGCUGGCGGCAGGCCUAACACAUGCAAGUCGAGCGGAUGAAGGGAGCUUUCUCCUGUCUUCAGCUGCGGACGGGUGAGUAAUUCCUAGGAAUCUGCCUUGUCUUUGGGGAUAACGUCCCUAAACGGGCGCUAAUACCGCAUCCGUCCUUAUUUUGAACGUGGUGGAUCUUCGGACUUCACGCUUUCUGCUGACCCUAGGUCGGAUUAGCUAGUUGGUUGGGUAAAGGCCUACCAAGGCGACGAUCCGUAACUGGUCUGAGAGGAUGAUCAGUCACACUGGAACUGAGACACGGUCCAGACUCCUACGGGAGGCAGCAGUGGGGAAUAUUGGACAAUGGGCGAAAGCCUGAUCCAGCCAUGCCGCGUGUGUGAAGAAGGUCUUCGGAUUGUAAAGCACUGUAAGUAGGGAGGAAGGGAAGUAAGUUAAUACCUUGAUGUUUUGACGUUACCAAAAGAAUAAGCAACGGCUAACUUCGUG